GAAAAAAAGCAGGGGAGCCGGUUUGGCUGAGAGGAUGCCGCUUUGCAUCGACCCUUCACCUGAUCUGGAUAAUGCCAGCGUAGGGAGUCUCAUAUUGAAGCAU
This 103-nucleotide non-coding RNA is filed under the name Heyndrickxia coagulans. RNAcentral describes it as "Bacillus coagulans TPP sequence". It matches the Rfam family "TPP riboswitch aptamer (THI element)". From Rfam's summary of the family: Vitamin B(1) in its active form thiamin pyrophosphate (TPP) is an essential coenzyme that is synthesised by coupling of pyrimidine and thiazole moieties in bacteria. The previously detected thiamin-regulatory element, thi box was extended, resulting in a new, highly conserved RNA secondary structure, the THI element, which is widely distributed in eubacteria and also occurs in some archaea. The record is from RNAcentral. Lineage: Bacteria; Bacillati; Bacillota; Bacilli; Caryophanales; Bacillaceae.